Molecule: long non-coding RNA, 2629 nt
Organism: Panicum hallii
Lineage: Eukaryota; Viridiplantae; Streptophyta; Magnoliopsida; Poales; Poaceae
Exons: 5
Source: RefSeq, a predicted model, not a curated record
CGCGUCGCUGCGGUGCGUCCCUCCUCAUUCUCCCUCCCUUCCCUUCACCUCUCUGUCUCUCCCUCUCGCCAUUUUCCCUCGCGGCGACGAUUGGGAGCGCCGCCGCCCUUCGCCAGCGACGAGCACCCACCUGGUAUGCCCGACCCUUCGCUUCCCUUCCUGCUGUGCGAAACCGAGCAUCCCAAACCCUAAUACCCAUAAUAAUGCACUGGGAUGAAAGAGAAAAACUACCUGCAGAAACCACAAGCUUUCGAGAAAGUUCCUGUGCUUGUUGUCCAUAUUAGCUGUGAGAUGGUCGAGGAAGUCACUGAAGCUGCUCUCUUUGUAUCUGGGGGGAUUUUCUUCAUCCACUAGCUCCUUGGCACAGGACUUCCAUGUGGUCACCAAUGUGGACAUGCAAAGCGUGUGGAAGUUGCUGGACCCUUUUCCAGAUGUUGGUGCUGGGGUCGACAACUUCAAGGCCCUGACAACUUGUGAGCAGGAUGGUAAGGAAUCCAUAAUCAGAAUGUGGAGCCAGCCCUAUACUUGUGGCACUUUGUGAUGCUUUGGGAUAGCAGUUCACCGACAAUAGCUGGGAGCCUUCAUGAAAUUUCUCAUUCAGGUCGCCGGAGUUCCUCCGAUGCAAACUUUUCCUUUGUCUCACUUGGCAGUUUGAAGAAUUCUGAAGCUGCUUCAAGAGCACUGUCCAUGACAGAUUGACUGAUCCCAUGGUUUAUAACCUGCAAAAUGGAGCAACUAUUGGAGAUUUGGACAGGGAAAUAAGCUGUCUUUGUUCCCUUAUAGUUGAGGAUCUGGCAAUGGUUUAUGGAAUGGCAAUCGAUCAAGUUCUCUUCUGAAAACAAAAUUUGGCAUCGCACCCUAAAAACUUCCAACGACAGAUGGGACAUCUUACAAUCUGCCAUCCAAAGUACUAAAAUGGCGUUCCCUGGAGUUCCUAAUGGAAAUGUUAGCCAUUGUGAUGAAAUCUGAAGGGCAAGAUGGGAAUUGAAGUUCUUGUCAACCUGGAGCCGGUCCUCCUCACUUCCAGUACUUUCAGUUCAGUAAAACUAGCUGAUUCAUCCAGCAAUUGUCAAAGGUGUGGAGCCAACUUAAAGCAUCAGACUCUUAAUUUUUGGAGCCAAAAGUGUGAAUGUAGUUCAUGAAACAAUGCAGUUGAAUAGCGACAGAAUGCUUGUAUCAUAUUCAUCUGGGUGUACUAACAGUGAGAUGAUAUCAGAGCUAGCUGCUGGGCUCAAAAGAAGGUCUGAUGUCAAAGCUUCUCAAGCUGUUUAUCUACUGUAGAAUUUCUUCAAGAAUACUUUAGUUUGUCAGUUUUUGCCUUGGACAAGUGACAAGUCAGCUUCCUCGGUACACUCGAGCAGCGGUCACAGGUAGCAAUAAUUAUCAGUCUCAGACAAAGGAAAAGGUCAAGGCAAAGACAAGGAAAGGACAAAAGAAACCUGUUAUGCAGUGUUCUAAAGGAGCAUACCUGGAAGUACCCUAGAUCACGGGAUGCUUUGGCGAUAUCAUCAACCACAUGGGAUCGGGUUGCGGAAUCAAGGCUGAGGUGGCCGAGGUUGAUCACCGGCAUUUGCAGCGGAUGCAGGUCCUCGGAUGGGAGCUGCUCCUGAGGGACAGUCCUUGACAAGUCAGACAUGUUGGCUGACAAACCACAGCACCAGACACAGAGAGGUCAAUCUACUAUUCAGAAUCAGAAUAUGGAACGGGGUACAACCGUUGUGACUCCAUCUACUUAUAGGAUGCUGAAAUCCCAGGUACGUGAGACACCGCCUCUUGGCUUUGCAGUGCUUGCUCCUAAGGAAUGAAAGUAUAGAAGCGUACAUACACCUGAUGGUCUUCACCUGGUCCGUGCUUUGCUCCAAAUGAGAGGUCAAGGCAUAUGCAUGUCGGGCCAUACACGCAUUCGUCAGCAUUCUGGUCCAGGAGAAGGUCCUGGGCUGGCACUGCAUGGGCGUGCCUGUUUGUCUGUGCACCCUGCAAGUAAAAAAUUGUAAGCAUCAUAGGCUGGAUAGAGCUCCAGCUCCAGGCCUCUCACUCUUGCCGCGUUUCUUUCAGUUCUCCAUAGCGUGUUAACAUCGCGGCGGCAGGGGCAUGCAACUGGUGUUUUCUUAUGACCCAAGGCUUACGUGGAUAAUAUUGUUUGGAGGCGAGUUGUUUUGCUGAUGUUGCUGAAUUGUUGCCCAGGGGGUUCUCAUGUGGGCAUAACGCCUAAAUGAUCCGUCAGUUAUAUAUGGUGCAGUGGCAGGGUCCCAAAAAGGGUGCUCUUGGCAUGGUGUGUGUUGACUACUUGACUGCGAGGGGGAGCAUGGUGGUUGAUCUCCAGCCACAGGAGCAGUCGGACGUGCGGUUUUGUGCAGGGUGCUGACGCCUGUCCAGGUUCAGGGUUUUUGAGUUCGACGUACUAGCUGCUGGUGCAACAGAGGACAGACCUUCAUGUGGGCGCCCGGUAUGUUUGUCAAGGUUCUAGCUCUUCGCUGAACCUUCUCUUUUCAUCGUGGACUGACUCAAGUUGCAGUGCAUGGGUGCAAGUGUAAUAUAAUGUUGCUUACGUUUCCGAUGUCAAUAACUCCUGCUGCUCUGUCUAGUUUGGAUGAAUGCCAUGAAGAAGAUAUACGAGUGUUUCUGUCAU